GACGAACGCUGGCGGCGUGGAUUAGGCAUGCAAGUCGAACGGUAUCAUCCUUUCGGGGGUGAGAGAGUGGCGAACUGGUGAGUAACACGUAGGUUAUCUACCCUCAAGACGGGGACAACCCAGGGAAACUUGGGCUAAUACCGGAUGUGAGCAACUUUUAGUUGUUUGAAAGGUGGCGUAAGCUGUCGCUUGGGGAUGAGCCUGCGUCCUAUUAGUUAGUUGGUGAGGUAACGGCUCACCUAGGCAAUGAUAGGUAGGCGGCCUUAACGGGUGGUCGCCCACACUGGGAUUGAGAUACGGCCCAGACUCCUACGGGAGGCAGCAGUCGAGAAUAGUCUACAAUGGUCGGAAGACUGAUAGUGCGACGCCGCGUGAACGAUGAAUCCCUUCGGGGUGUAAAGUUCUUUUAUAUGUGAGCAGUGCUUCUUAUAUUAACAGUAUGGGGAGAGAGAUAUUAGCAUAUAGAAUAAGACAACGGCUAACUCCGUGCCAGCAGCCGACGGUAAAUACG
RNAcentral lists this ribosomal RNA (511 nucleotides) under uncultured bacterium. Its description in RNAcentral is "bacterial SSU rRNA". It matches the Rfam family "Bacterial small subunit ribosomal RNA", at positions 28 to 527 of the family's 1533-position model. The record is from RNAcentral.